Long non-coding RNA from Falco peregrinus (peregrine falcon), 3559 nucleotides. RefSeq lists it as uncharacterized. Lineage: Eukaryota; Metazoa; Chordata; Aves; Falconiformes; Falconidae. The record is from RefSeq and is a predicted model, not a curated record. The transcript is spliced from 7 exons.
CCAGCUACUGGGAUGAAAAUCAACUUUGCCCCAGCCAAAACCAGCAUCUUUUAUUUGAAUCUGAACAACAACAAACUUAGCUUUAACGUUUUAUUAAUAAAGAGAAUACUGUAUAAUUCUCUCAGUGUGUAUCAGUAAUAAUUGAAUUGUUCAUAUUUAUAUUGCAAAAAGAUUUUUUUUUCCUUUGGUUUAUCUAGGAAGAGCUGAGAAGAACCCAAAUAGAAAGCUUUUUCUUCUGUGUUCUAUUGCAAUGUCAUCUUUGAAGAUGUUAUUGCUGGAAUUAAUUACUUCUCCAUAUGCCAGAGCACUAGCAUCCUGAAUUUGUUACAUCAAAGGAUAUUGGCUGAGAAGACAAAUAAUUAAAUGACCCGUAACACAGAUACAUGGAAUAAAGCAACCUGCCUUAAUUAGGCUGAGACUAAUUAGGAUGCAAAUGAGACUAAAUGAAUGCAAAAACUUGGAUUGUAACUCACAAGAAGGAUUGAACGGGUAUGCUUGAUCUGGAUUUUCCAAGCAAGGACCCUGAGUUGGUGACCACUUUCCGGAGCCGCCUCCUUCAGAAGUAUUGCCAGGAGUGGACCUGGAUUCUCGUUUGUCUCAUGUGGGCUGUGGCCUGUGUCAAACACGGCCAGUUUAGGAGAGCGUAACAAGCUGCAGAAAUCUGUUAGCUUCCCUUGGGUUGGAAAGGCUUCUUGAGAAGGUUUCUGGAAGUCAGGAGCAUCUGUUGCCGUGGAAGAGGGAAUAUGGAUGUCUUCAACUUAAAGAACAUUGUACCAGCUCAGCAACAAAAAACUGCGGAGAAUCUGCCUAUGAACCCACCAGGGAAGAUCAGGACAUCGAUGUCUGGUACCUAGUGGCUGUAUCCCCUCUCAGAGACAGAAAAUGGCCUCAAGACACCACGCACUGAAAAUUUUGUUUCAAGGGGGAUUUCAAUAAUUCAAAACCCUUGCUGGCCCAGUUGGGGAAAAAAAUGAUAAUAUUGAAAUGAUCAGAAAGCUGGGGAAACUAGAACAUCUCUACAUUGCCAGAUUCUUCUCCUGACUCUAAAAUAUGACAUAAAAUAUUUCAUAGGUUAAUAAAAUGCUUAGAAUAAAUGGUGCUGUGUUGUCAACAGAACCUUGCUUGGCUGAUAUUUUUCUUACUGUGCUUGUGUGUAGCAGGGCUGGAAAUGAUGAUGUAUCAGUAAAAGGGAAACAGAUCAGAUUGGUUAAUCAGAUGCAAAUUGGUAUCUUUUUAACUAUCAGAGUAGAGAGAAAGAAGAAAAAAAUGCCUUGAAAGGAAAGUCUCUGUGUAAGAAUGAAACACCACAUAUUUUUUCACUCUGUUGUUUAUAUUGCAAAAGUAUGUAGAAGGCCAAUAAAGGAAAGAGCUUUACUUUGCUAGAUAGCUUCAAGCUAAUACAAAAGGCUGCAGUGUGGAAGAAAAGAUGAAAGAAUGUGACUACAAAAAUGGACAGUAUAGUUUUACCAUAUUUCAAUUUUUAUCUGAGCCAACGGCAGUAAGGAAAUAAGUCCAUGAAAGUUAAGCAACUUUCUGAUUUCUCAAGAGAAUCUGUGGUCAAAUUUCUUCUGUUCUUGUGAAUAAAGAUGGAUUCUCCUGUUUUUCUGUGACAAAUGACUAUUUCUGCCUGUUUAUAGGGAAGGAAGAUGCAGUCAGAAGAAAAAUUCCAUGUUGUAGCUGCCUUUGACAGGCUCUUUGUUUUACUCAGGUUGUUUGGAAGAGUGAGGAAAUAAUGUGUGAUAAAUAGAUAUAAAUGUGAAGUCAUGUGAAUAUACAGAAAAGAAAAAAUAGAAAACAAGAAAAAAAUUCCCCCCAAAACUCCAAGUUUGAUGCAGAGGGUGGUAUCCAUUCUUACAGAACUUUUUUUUCAAGGAGUUGGAAGUUCAUUAAAAUAUCUAUUAAAAUCUAUAUCCAUCUGUAUUUUACAAAACCAAGGAACUACAUUUUCGCAUGUGAGGGGAAAAUCUUCAAAACACAUCUGUCACAAUGACUCUCCCAAUGGAUCCAUAGACUUUAGUACAAAUGUUUGUUGACUGACAUUGUAACUUUUCAGACUGUCACUGUUUCUUGCCUCAUUUUCUUCCCACCCUCUGCUGAAUCAACCUAUGUAUCAAAAAAAUUAAUUUAAUUUUGAAUCAUUAUAAAUGCAACUUAAUUGCUCACUAUAUAAGAAUUCAACUUCCAAAAUCUGCAUCUCCUUUUCAGAUUCUCUCACAUUUUUUCAGGUUCAGAACACAACCUGCAAAAUCUAUUUUUAGCAUUUUUAAACAUUUCAUUUCUGCAAGCAUGAGUUCCUUUGGACCUUGUGACAUGUUUGUCAUUCCUUCACAGAAAACAUUCAACACCUUCACUCACACAGCACAACUGAAUUCCUUGCAUUUUCCAAAGUAAGGACAAGCUAUCCCUUUACAGCUGUUACCAAUAAGGGCACCUGGCUACAUUGCUUCAAGAGCAAGUGAAAACCACAUUGCAACUCUUUUUUGCUCUUUUGAGGUUGGGUUUUUUUCCCCUUCUCUUUCUUUUCUUCUCCUGAUCAGUGCUGUCAAGCAGUUUCUCUGAUGUGUGGAUGGUCACAGCCACAGGUGACCCGGUCCUUUGCCACAGCAGUGUGAAAGCUGUGGUAGCACAGCCAUUUUUGUUCAACGCUUGGUAUAACCAGGCUUAAUCCAGAUCAAUUAUUGGCGUUACCACAGCAUUCCAGAAAAUGUGACUGGGAGAUAUGUUUUCAGGCUGAAACUUUCUGUUCAUUCUGAGGGGCCAUGGUGCUGGAUCUGCAGUCCUGCUUCUCUUUCUAGAGAGAAUGCAAUUAGUUAGACUGUGCAAUUUGGCCUCAUUAAGUACACCUGUCAUGGGAUUAGCAGGAAGUGGGAAAAAAACUACAAAAUCACAUUUAGGGUUACCUUUGCCAUGACAUAUACAAACACAGUACAUAGCACCUGGAGUGUGAGAAGACCAUGUUGUUUUCUGUAGGAGUUCUUCAGGUAAGAAACAAACAAAAUCUUGAUACUUAAUAGAGCAGUGUCAUAUGGUUUGGUUUUUUGCAUUAUCCAGGUUCUGCUCUGAUCCUUAGAUGUGGGCUGUUGAAGUUACUUUAUAAACUUGAAUUACAAUAGAGGCAAACAUGUGCACCCUGUGGAAAUAAUGACAAAACAGGUAUUUCUUGUCUUAAAAAUAGGCACAACAUUCCUUAAAUAUACAAUUUCUAAUUUCAGACUUGAUCUGGAAUGUUUCCGUUAUUUUUGAGUGAUGAUAGGUAGAGUCUCCCUGCAGGUAAUACUUUUACUAGUAAAUAGUGAAAUGUAUAUCUGAAACAUAGAGGUCGGAGUGAAUUGGAAAUUAAAUUGUUUAGCCAGUCUUUUAAUUUCUGUUUGGUUAUGGCUCCUUUCUUUCAAAAGGAUUUAAGUAGAGAAUGGAUUUGAGGACUUGCUUGCAUUUAAAUCCAUCUAACUCCGUCUCCCUGUCCAUGUCUUUGGUAAAAGGUCAUUUCUUCGCAUGAAUUUGUAAAACGACUGUUCUGGUGUACUUCAUAAGCCUGGUAUUUAAGAGGUUAUUCUGCAAC